CUCUAACUUGAGUUUUCUUUCAGCAUUUUUACUUUUUCUGUCUUUGUUGACCAGUUCUCUGCUCUCAUCAUCCAUUGGUAUAAGAUGUUAGAGGAGUUUACCUCCGAGAGAAAAAGCUACCCUGCCGACUCUGCUGUGCCUGAGUGGGUGAUUGUCUCCUCCCAGGUUUUUAACUUUCCAACUUGAUUGAUCAUUGAUCAUAAUAAGCACCUGUAAUGUAUGCAGAAAAUGCAACGGAGAUCUGGCAAUUACAUU
RNAcentral lists this long non-coding RNA (255 nucleotides) under Mus musculus (house mouse). Its description in RNAcentral is "long non-coding RNA chr12:89677761-89678016". Lineage: Eukaryota; Metazoa; Chordata; Mammalia; Rodentia; Muridae. The record is from RNAcentral.